UCCGGUUUGUCACCGGCAGUCACCUUUGAGUGCCCAACUCAAUGCUGGCAACAAAGAUCAAGGGUUGCGCUCGUUGCGGGACUUAACCCAACAUCUCACGACACGAGCUGACGACAACCAUGCACCACCUGUCUCUUCGUCCCCCGAAGGGGAACACCCUAUCUCUAGGGCUUGCGAAGGAUGUCAAGACUUGGUAAGGUUCUUCGCGUUGCUUCGAAUUAAACCACAUGCUCCACUGCUUGUGCGGGCCCCCGUCAAUUCCUUUGAGUUUCAACCUUGCGGUCGUACUCCCCAGGCGGAGUGCUUAUUGCGUUUGCUGCAGCACUAAGGGGUCAUCCCCCCUAACACCUAGCACUCAUCGUUUACGGCGUGGACUAC
RNAcentral lists this unclassified non-coding RNA (378 nucleotides) under uncultured Caryophanales bacterium. RNAcentral describes it as "uncultured Bacillales bacterium contains 16S-23S intergenic spacer region". The record is from RNAcentral. Lineage: Bacteria; Bacillati; Bacillota; Bacilli; Caryophanales.